GCCCCAGACUCCUACGGGAGGCAGCAGUGGGGAAUAUUGCACAAUGGGGGAAACCCUGAUGCAGCGACGCCGCGUGAGCGAUGAAGUCUUUCGGAAUGUAGGGCUAUAUCAGCAGGGAAGAAAAUGACGGUACCUGACUAAGAAGCACCGGCUAACUCCGUGCCAGCAGCCGCGGUAAUACGGAGGGUGCAAGCGUUACUCGGAAUCACUGGGCGUAAAGAGCGCGUAGGCGGGAUAGCAAGUCAGAUGUGAAAUCCUAUGGCUUAACCAUAGAACUGCAUUUGAAACUGUUAUUCUAGAGUAUGGGAGAGGUAGGUGGAAUUCUUGGUGUAGGGGUAAAAUCCGUAGAGAUCAAGAGGAAUACUCAUUGCGAAGGCGACCUGCUAGAACAUAACUGACGCUGAUGCGCGAAAGCGUGGGGAGCAAACAGGAUUAGAUACCCCCGUAA
This 448-nucleotide ribosomal RNA is filed under the name uncultured bacterium. RNAcentral's name for it is "bacterial SSU rRNA". It matches the Rfam family "Bacterial small subunit ribosomal RNA", at positions 328 to 793 of the family's 1533-position model. The record is from RNAcentral.